ACNUGCAGUCGAGCGGAGUUGAUGAGGUGCUUGCACCUUUGAUACUUAGCGGCGGACGGGUGAGUAACACGUGGGUAACCUGCCUAUAAGACUGGGAUAACAUUCGGAAACGAAUGCUAAUACCGGAUACGCGAUAUGGUCGCAUGACUGAAUCGGGAAAGAUGGAGCAAUCUAUCACUUAUAGAUGGACCCGCGGCGCAUUAGCUAGUUGGUGAGGUAACGGCUCACCAAGGCGACGAUGCGUAGCCGACCUGAGAGGGUGAUCGGCCACACUGGGACUGAGACACGGCCCAGACUCCUACGGGAGGCAGCAGUAGGGAAUCUUCCGCAAUGGACGAAAGUCUGACGGAGCAACGCCGCGUGAGUGAUGAAGGUUUUCGGAUCGUAAAGCUCUGUUGCCAGGGAAGAAUGCUUGGGAGAGUAACUGCUCUCAAGGUGACGGUACCUGAGAAGAAAGCCCCGGCUAACUACGUGCCAGCAGCCGCGGUAAUACGUAGGGGGCAAGCGUUGUCCGGAAUUAUUGGGCGUAAAGCGCGCGCAGGCGGCCUUGUAAGUCUGUUGUUUAAACUUGGGGCUCAACCCCAAGUCGCAAUGGAAACUGCAAAGCUUGAGUACAGAAGAGGAAAGUGGAAUUCCACGUGUAGCGGUGAAAUGCGUAGAGAUGUGGAGGAACACCAGUGGCGAAGCGACUUUCUGGGCUGUAACUGACGCUGAGCGCGAAAGCGUGGGGAGCAACAGAUA
Molecule: ribosomal RNA, 741 nt
Filed under: Bacillus sp. 1.9-17
Lineage: Bacteria; Bacillati; Bacillota; Bacilli; Caryophanales; Bacillaceae
Description: bacterial SSU rRNA
Rfam family: Bacterial small subunit ribosomal RNA
Source: RNAcentral